UACAGAGGGUGCAAGCGUUAAUCGGAAUUACUGGGCGUAAAGCGUGCGUAGACGGUCACGUAAGUCGGGUGUGAAAGCCCCGGGCUCAACCUGGGAAUUGCAUUCGAGACUGCAUGGCUAGGGUGCGGAAGAGGGAAGCGGAAUUUCCGGUGUAGCGGUGAAAUGCGUUGAGAUCGGAAGGAACGCCCGUGGCGAAAGCGCGGCCCUGGACUCUUUCUGACGCUGAGACGCGAAAGCUAGGGGAGCGAACGGG
This 253-nucleotide ribosomal RNA is filed under the name uncultured bacterium. RNAcentral's name for it is "partial 16S ribosomal RNA". It matches the Rfam family "Bacterial small subunit ribosomal RNA", at positions 524 to 776 of the family's 1533-position model. The record is from RNAcentral.